Molecule: long non-coding RNA, 375 nt
Organism: Mytilus californianus (California mussel)
Lineage: Eukaryota; Metazoa; Mollusca; Bivalvia; Mytilida; Mytilidae
Exons: 2
Source: RefSeq, a predicted model, not a curated record
UUAAUUUUGAUAUUCAAGAUGUCUGCGCCCAUGGGACACGAUCGGUCACGACCAAAGCCAAAAGAGGACGACGAGGAAGAAGAUCCAGUGGACAAGAUGCUUACAAAAACUGGAUGCAAAGAAUUACAUUACCUUGUCCAGGAUUGUAUGGGAGAACACAAUGAUUGGAGGAAAUGUCAAAAACAGGUCACAGAGUUCAGGAAAUGUAUGGAAAAGAAAUCAUCUUGAUACAUUUGAGGAAGUGUGUGUCUUUGCAAGUGAACAAUAAAUCCUCUGAAAUAUACUAUGGAAAAGAAUAUCUGUGAUAUUUAAGAUACUUAGAAGAACCAUAUCUACCUUUUAUGUAAUGACAAAUAAACGAUACCUUUCGCUGUU